CCUACGGGUGGCUGCAGUGGGGAAUAUUGCACAAUGGGCGCAAGCCUGAUGCAGCCAUGCCGCGUGUGUGAAGAAGGCCUUCGGGUUGUAAAGCACUUUCAGCGGGGAGGAAGGCGGUGAGGUUAAUAACCUCAUCGAUUGACGUUACCCGCAGAAGAAGCACCGGCUAACUCCGUGCCAGCAGCCGCGGUAAUACGGAGGGUGCAAGCGUUAAUCGGAAUUACUGGGCGUAAAGCGCACGCAGGCGGUCUGGCAAGUCGGAUGUGAAAUCCCCGGGCUCAACCUGGGAACUGCAUUCGAAACUGGCAGUCUAGAGUCUUGUAGAGGGGGGUAGAAUUCCAGGUGUAGCGGUGAAAUGCGUAGAGAUCUGGAGGAAUACCGGUGGCGAAGGCGGCCCCCUGGACAAAGACUGACGCUCAGGUGCGAAAGCGUGGGGAGCAAACAGGAUUAGAUACCCGGGUAGUC
RNAcentral lists this ribosomal RNA (465 nucleotides) under uncultured Klebsiella sp. RNAcentral describes it as "bacterial SSU rRNA". It matches the Rfam family "Bacterial small subunit ribosomal RNA", at positions 338 to 795 of the family's 1533-position model. The record is from RNAcentral. Lineage: Bacteria; Pseudomonadati; Pseudomonadota; Gammaproteobacteria; Enterobacterales; Enterobacteriaceae.